CUUCUAAACAUUUAAUAACUUCUACUUGAAGAAACGUAGCUAAUCUCCAUAUUGUUACAACAAUAACAUGAGCCAACAGUACUUAGAGUCAAAGUUUACUAAAAUUAACUAAAAUCGUAGAAUAGCUGUUAUCGUAAUUGAAUACCUAUGCUACGGACCAGCGGGUAUGUGCAUUAUUUUAACAUCGAGACGAGGCUAUAGGGUCAUGUUUUGUGUUUUUUGACCCUUUAGCCUCGUUUCCGUUCGCAUGUAUACCUACAAAAUGCUUGUCACUAAGGGACGGACCAUUAUUUUUUUGCGGGGGGGGGAUGGAAGAUUCUUUAAAAAAUGUUUGCAAAGACAAAAAAGUGCAAAUAAAUUGUUUGCACACAUAGAGAAGAGGAAAAACAUAGUUUGCAAGCUAAUGAGAUUAUGCAACAUCAACCAAGGUUUAAUACGCAUGCAAACAGACAUUUAAUAGUUUUUCAAGUAUAUUUAUAAACAAAAACAUUUAAUAUACUUUUUUAAUACGUUUAACAAUUUCAAAUUGACUGUAUUCAAUAGAUUAAUAUUUAUAACCCAUAUGUAGAUUGCGACAUGUGCCCAGCGUCUCCCACUCCCAGGACUUUUGGGGUAAAGACCCUGGGUAUGUCUGUUCAUUGUUAUUAAAUUUAUACUUCUAACACCACAUGUUGUUCACACAUGCGAUAGCGCAUGUAAUCUGGCACAAAUUAAACUACAAUCUUGGCCAUAAACCGUAGGACAAUGAUAAAUUUUGUGCAUUUUUA
Molecule: non-coding RNA, 767 nt
Organism: Paramuricea clavata
Lineage: Eukaryota; Metazoa; Cnidaria; Anthozoa; Malacalcyonacea; Plexauridae
Source: the annotation of a GenBank genome assembly